CCGGAUCAGAUUAUGAUAACGUCACCAUAUCCGGAUCGGAUUUUGUGUUUAUCAGAGGGAAAGGAUGAGAUGGAAAUUGAAGAAGGAGGCUGAGCAACAGCUUAAGGAUUCAGGGAAACAGCUCUUACAUAUACAUCCCCCGGCUUCCGUCAAUCAACUCCUCCCUGUUCUUGAUGUUCCUUAGCAAGCUGAGAAACAUCUAUUCAGUUAUGAAGGCGUUUAUACAUGAUGGUAUUUCAAGACAUUCAGAUGUUGAUGUGAAGGUUGCAGACGCAGUUACUUCAUCCAUCAGUGAAAUAACAAGAAUCGCAGCACCUGAUGCACCCUACAAUGAUGAACAAAUGAGGGAUGCAUUCGGUUGAUUGUUUCUUCGGUUAACUGGUUCUUAUAACAAAAGUGUCUCAAUUCUUGAAACCUUUUCUGAAGUCGAAUCAUUUCUCAUCAUGAUUGAUCUUGAAUGCGAUGAGUUGAUUGAAUGAUUGUGAACAUGCUUCUUUCUACAUUUUCUUGGAUCAUUAUUCAUAAGGUGUGUUGUAGAUCUUUAUGUAUUAUGUACAAACUUAGAGUGGGUUAUACAAGAAAUAGGAAUACUUUCAUUUAUUUGUUUAUUAAUAUUUAUAGCUUCGAACUUUCA
Molecule: long non-coding RNA, 634 nt
Organism: Lactuca sativa (garden lettuce)
Lineage: Eukaryota; Viridiplantae; Streptophyta; Magnoliopsida; Asterales; Asteraceae
Source: RefSeq, a predicted model, not a curated record